This 22-nucleotide microRNA is filed under the name Schmidtea mediterranea. RNAcentral's name for it is "Sme-Mir-1992-P6-v2_5p (mature (guide))". Lineage: Eukaryota; Metazoa; Platyhelminthes; Tricladida; Dugesiidae. The record is from RNAcentral.
CCGCCAAUGACAAACUGUUGAU